This 324-nucleotide ribosomal RNA is filed under the name Triticum aestivum (bread wheat). Its description in RNAcentral is "partial small subunit ribosomal RNA". The record is from RNAcentral. Lineage: Eukaryota; Viridiplantae; Streptophyta; Magnoliopsida; Poales; Poaceae.
AUGAAGUGCUUCUCAUCUUCACAGUUCCUGGAGAAGCUCGAGCUCGUGGAUUGCAGAUCUAUAACUGAUGCUAGUAUGAAUUUCAUUAUUCAGGCUCCUUGCUUGAGCAAUCUCACACUCCGCAAAUGCAAGAAAGUGACAGAUAAUGGAAUGGCUGCGUUGGCACGUUCACAGAAGUUGGACUCAUUGACCGUUAUAGGCUGCCACUGGGUCUCUCACGAAGGUGUGCAGGGUGCUGCCAAAUCAGUUCGCUACUCGGCAGAGAUUGAAAGCCAUGACAGCCUAAAAGGUAUGUGCAUGAAAAGGAAUGGACGCAAGACAUAG